AUUGAACGCUGGCGGCAUGCCUUACACAUGCAAGUCGAACGGCAGCACGGGUGCUUGCACCUGGUGGCGAGUGGCGAACGGGUGAGUAAUACAUCGGAACAUGUCCUGUAGUGGGGGAUAGCCCGGCGAAAGCCGGAUUAAUACUGCAUCCGAUCUACGUUUGACAUCGGGGGACCUUCGGGCCUCGGGCAUUAGGGCUGGCCGAUGGCUGAUUAGCUAGUUGGUGGGGUAAAGGCCUACCAAGGCGACGAUCAGUAGCUGGUCUGAGAGGACGACCAGCCACACUGGGACUGAGACACGGCCCAGACUCCUACGGGAGGCAGCAGUGGGGAAUUUUGGACAAUGGGCGAAAGCCUGAUCCAGCAAUGCCGCGUGUGUGAAGAAGGCCUUCGGGUUGUAAAGCACUUUUGUCCGGAAAGAAAUCCUUGGCCCUAAUACGGUCGGGGGAUGACGGUACCGGAAGAAUAAGCACCGGCUAACUACGUG
Molecule: ribosomal RNA, 486 nt
Filed under: uncultured bacterium
Lineage: Bacteria
Description: partial 16S ribosomal RNA
Rfam family: Bacterial small subunit ribosomal RNA
Source: RNAcentral